RNAcentral lists this ribosomal RNA (496 nucleotides) under uncultured bacterium. RNAcentral's name for it is "partial 16S ribosomal RNA". It matches the Rfam family "Bacterial small subunit ribosomal RNA", at positions 28 to 506 of the family's 1533-position model. The record is from RNAcentral.
GAUGAACGCUGGCGGCGUGCCUAAUACAUGCAAGUCGAGCGAACAGAUGAGGAGCUUGCUCCUCUGACGUUAGCGGCGGACGGGUGAGUAACACGUGGAUAACCUACCUAUAAGACUGGGAUAACUUCGGGAAACCGGAGCUAAUACCGGAUAAUAUAUUGAACCGCAUGGUUCAAUAGUGAAAGACGGUUUUGCUGUCACUUAUAGAUGGAUCCGCGCCGCAUUAGCUAGUUGGUAAGGUAACGGCUUACCAAGGCAACGAUGCGUAGCCGACCUGAGAGGGUGAUCGGCCACACUGGAACUGAGACACGGUCCAGACUCCUACGGGAGGCAGCAGUAGGGAAUCUUCCGCAAUGGGCGAAAGCCUGACGGAGCAACGCCGCGUGAGUGAUGAAGGUCUUCGGAUCGUAAAACUCUGUUAUUAGGGAAGAACAAAUGUGUAAGUAACUAUGCACGUCUUGACGGUACCUAAGCAGAAAGCCACGGCUAUCUACGU